Molecule: transfer RNA, 73 nt
Filed under: Felis catus (domestic cat)
Lineage: Eukaryota; Metazoa; Chordata; Mammalia; Carnivora; Felidae
Also listed under: 2 other names
Rfam family: tRNA
About the family: Transfer RNA (tRNA) molecules are approximately 80 nucleotides in length. Their secondary structure includes four short double-helical elements and three loops (D, anti-codon, and T loops).
Source: Rfam by way of RNAcentral
ACCUGGAUGGCUUAGCUGGUGGAGCACAAGACUCUUGAUCUUGGGGUUGUGAGUUUGAGCCGCACAUUGGGUA